GGUGGCGGUGAGGGGCGCAGAGUCCAGGGGGAAACGACUGUUUACCAAAAACACAGGUCCGUGCGAAGUCGUAAGACGAUGUAUACGGACUGACUCCUGCCCGGUGCUGGAAGGUUAAGGGGAACUGUGAGUGUAUGCGUAGCGGUGAACUUAAGCCCCAGUAAACGGCGGUGGUAACUAUAACCAUCCUAAGGUAGCGAAAUUCCUUGUCGGGUAAGUUCCGACCUGCACGAAUGGAGUAACGAUUUCCCUACUGUCUCCACCAUGAACUCGGUGAAAUUGCAUUACGAGUAAAGAUGCUCGUUACGCGCAGCAGGACGGAAAGACCCCGGGACCUUUACUAUAGUUUGGUAUUGGUGAUUGGGACGGUUUGUGUAGGAUAGGUGGGAGACGUUGAUGCGGCCACGCUAGUGGUGGUGGAGUCGUUGGUGAAAUACCACUCUGAUUGUUCUGGUUAUCUCACUGUGGACCGUGAUCCGGUUCAAGGACAGUGCCUGAUGGGUAGUUUGACUGGGGCGGUCGCCUCCUAAAGGGUAACGGAGGCGCCCAAAGGUUCCCUCAGCCUGGUUGGUAAUCAGGUGGUGAGUGUAAGUGCACAAGGGGGCUUGACUGUGAGACUGACAGGUCGAGCAGGGACGAAAGUCGGGACUAGUGAUCUGACGGUGGCUUGUGGAUGCGCCGUCACUCAACGGAUAAAAGGUACCCCGGGGAUAACAGGCUGAUCUUGCCCGAGCGCUCAUAGCGACGGCAUGGUUUGGCACCUCGAUGUCGGCUCGUCGCAUCCUGGGGCUGGAGUCGGUCCCAAGGGUUGGGCUGUUCGCCCAUUAAAGCGGCACGCGAGCUGGGUUCAGAACGUCGUGAGACAGUUCGGUCCCUAUCCGCUGCGCGCGGAGGAAUCUUGAGAAGGGCUGUCUUUAGUACGAGAGGACCGAGACGGACUGACCUCUGGUGUGCCAGUUGUUCUGCCAAGAGCAUGGCUGGUUGGCUACGUCGGGUUGUGAUAACCGCUGAAAGCAUCUAAGCGGGAAGCACGCUUCAAGAUAAGGGUUCCCACAGGAGUGUUCCUGGUAAGGUCCCCGAGAGAUGAUCGGGUUGAUAGGCCAGACGUGGACGCAUCGUAAGGUGUGGAGCUGACUGGUACUAAUAGACCGAGGACUUUCAUUA
This 1164-nucleotide ribosomal RNA is filed under the name Elodea nuttallii. Its description in RNAcentral is "bacterial LSU rRNA". It matches the Rfam family "Bacterial large subunit ribosomal RNA", at positions 1763 to 2925 of the family's 2925-position model. Lineage: Eukaryota; Viridiplantae; Streptophyta; Magnoliopsida; Alismatales; Hydrocharitaceae. The record is from RNAcentral.